Long non-coding RNA from Tribolium castaneum (red flour beetle), 3956 nucleotides. RefSeq lists it as uncharacterized. Lineage: Eukaryota; Metazoa; Arthropoda; Insecta; Coleoptera; Tenebrionidae. The transcript has 5 exons. The record is from RefSeq and is a predicted model, not a curated record.
UGGACUACACCACAAGGUUUUCACACCGUAAAAACGAAUUUUCCUCCAAAUUGCUGGUUUUAUCAAUACUUCACUAUUUGCAUUAUAAAACUAUAAUCCAAAUGAAGAAUUAAAACGAUCAGAGACCAAGAACACAACCUCAACUGUAACAAAUCACAAAAUAAAUCUUAUCAACUAUUUGUAAUGCCAUUGUUGCAAUUUUUCUUUAAUAGGAAGUUAAUUUGAUCCACAAAAGAAUAACGCACGGCUUAAUGUUUAUUUACAUUUUUGAAAAUUACAAGAGCUUCGAUAACAAUGAGCACAAAAGCAACAAAUGCCGCCAGCGUGCUAAUUGGCGCCAGUGCUAUUUUUCAUAAGCGCGAUUAUCAAAGAAAAUAUGAAUAAUGAAGUCAAUGUUUUUUUAUUAAACAACAAUAAUAACAUGGAUCAUUUUUUUUAACUAGACUUACCAGUAUGGGGUGAUCAGAGCAUCACUUCCAAAUACUAAAAGAAUUUUUUUAUCGUUAUGACUUUAUGAUUUGUUUUUCGCGCUUACGAAAAAUAGCAUAGGCGCCAGCUAGCGCGCUAGCGGCAUUUGUUGCUUUCAUGCUUAUUGUUGUUGAAGUUCUUGUUUCAACAACCUGUGGAUUAAAUUAACUUCCUAUUAAAGAAAAAUUGCAAUAAUGGUACUAUAAAUGGUUGAUAAGAUUUUAUUUUGUGAUUUGUUACAAUAGUUUUAUAAUGCAAGUAUUGAAAUAUUGAUAAAAACAGCGAUUUGGAGGGAAAAUCGUUUUCUGGUGGUGUGGCAUCAGAUCAAGUUGUGAUGCCGGGACGGCUACCGCUAGCCAAUGUUGUUCCUGACAUUACAAUUGUAAUGAUUCCAUUACAAUUUAUUUAUUGUCAUUACGCCAUUACUACAAUUUUACAAUUACUUGAUUUCAUUACAAAUUUGCCUUAUCAAUUUUCUGAUAAAUAAAUUCCCAUUACGGUAUUCAAAUUCUCUCAAGAGUUUUUAAUUAUUUGUGGUUGGUGGUACAUUCACCCAUGUUGGCAGAAUAUGUUUCGACAAUCUACAUUUGACACCACACACUACACUGUUGACAGAUGACCAGAUGACAGCAUUGACAACAUUGACAGCCCGAGCUUAAGCUUAGUAGGUCACAUCCACAGGCACCACAGGCCAUAAGUUGUUAGUUUGUUAGUUGUGUCCUCAGAGCCAUGUGACUCCUGUACCUUGAUCUCAUGUUUGAUUUGAAUUAAAAUAUAUUGCAGUUUUUGACGGUUACCGGUUAGGCUAGAGUGAACAGUGAAGUGGUGAAUCUUAUGGUUUGAAAAUGGACAAGUAUGUAUUAGAAAUCAGUUUUGAAUUGUUAACUUAGUAUUUUCUAACUUCUUUAGAUUUGUAAUUCGUGACUUAUCUCGGAAUACUGUGCCCGCCACAAUUUCAGCACCCGUUCCUAGUGUUGCCACUGUUGCCACUGAUUCAGGUUCAGAACCAGAGGAAGAAACUUACAACGACAGCCAUGAAGGUGUUCUAUUGAAACGAAAGAAGCGUAUACGAAAUGUUUUUAAACAGAAAUUUAAAAAAUCAUGGAUAACCAAAGACAAUAAAAAAUGGUUGACAGAAAUACCUGCCACAGGGCAAGCACAGUGUAAUGUUUGCAAUAAAACUUUGGUUGGAGGAAUUACUCACAUAAAUAGACAUGGCAAUAGUAGAAGUCACAUUAAAAAAAUAAAAUGUUUAGGAGCAACUCCACAAAUCGCUACCUUGAUGACAGAAACAACAGAAAAGAAACGAUUAAAAGAUGGCGUUAAGCAAGCUGAAAUUAAGAUGAUCAUGUUUCUAGCAGAACAUAACCUUCCAUUUCGUUUACUUGAACAUUUACCUAAAUUUCUAGCCUCAGUGUGUUAUGAUUCAGAAAUUGCUAAACAUUUACAGUGUAGCCGUAAAAAAGGUACAAAAAUAUGCACUGAAAUAACUGGUCCAGCACAUUUACGUCAGGUAUCAGAAGAAUUAAAAAGCAAUUAGUUUUCUUUAAUAUUGGAUGAAACCACAGACAUUUCCACCCAAAAAUGUUUAACAGUUUUAGCUCGAUACUACAGUGGAGAUGUCAUAAAAGAUGAAUAUUGAGGGCUAAUUCCGGUUGAAAAUGGUACAGCUGAAUCAUUAUAUACUGCAACGAAGGGACUAUUAGAACAAAAUAAUAUACCACUUACAAAAAUGAUCGGAUUUGCAGCAGACAAUGCUUCGAUAUGUUUGCUCUGGGAUGUGUGUGCCAUUCUCUAACUCUUUGUUCUGGAGCAGCUUGUAAGAAGUUACCUACAUCAAUAGAAAAAUUAGCUAGAGAUAUUGUUUCUUAUUUUGCACACAGCUCGAAAUGACAACAUGAAUUAAAGGAAUAUCAGUGUUUUGUUGAUGUGAGCCAACAUAAACUGUUAAAAUUAAGUAAUACUAGGUGGCUUUCACUACAAGCUGUUGUAGACCGUAUUAUUGAACAGUGGCAGUCUUUGACGAUGUUUUUUACAAAUGAGGUUUAUGAUAAAAGUUGUCUUGUUAAUCCUGAGCAGAUACUUUCUGCUUUACAAAAUCCUGUAUUCAAAUUAUACUUUACAUUUCUAUCAUAUAUUCUUGAUGUAGUGAAUACCAUGAAUUUAGAAUUUCAAGGUGAAUCGCCAAAGCUACAUUUAUUACAUAGUAGGAUCACUGGUCUAUUUAAAUCAAUACUGAAAAAUUUUAUGAAACCCCAAUAUUUAAGUAAUCUGACUAUGUAUAAUAAAAUACAGUUCCUUCCUCAUAACUACAAAACAUUGGAUAAUAUUUAUUGCGGAGCAAAUUGUGAAUUAAUUAUUAAUAGUACACCCAUCAACAAGACUGAAAUAGAUAGCUUUAAAAUAAAAUGUUUAGACUUCUAUGUUGAAUUAAGUAAACAAAUAUUAUCAAGAUUUAAUUUUGAUGACAAUGUAUUGAAAUUUAUGCAAAACUUUGACCCUGCUGUGGCUGUGUCUGGUGUAUGCGAGACCCUAGUUCCUCUUGCUAGUAGAUUUCCUACAUUAGUCACUAAUUUAGAGAAACUCAAUUCAGAAUGGAGACUCUUAUCUGAUAUGUCUGAAAUUAAAAUGAACAGUUCCAAGUCUCUAGUAGACUUUUGGAAUUACGUUUUCAACAUAAAAAACGGACUGAAUGAAUAUAUGUUCCCUCAUUUGACAAAUUUUGUUAAAGGGUUGUUGUGUUUACCACACUCCUCCGCUGCGGCAGAGAGAAUAUUCUCUCAAUUAUCUUUAAUAAAAACCAAAAAUAGAAAUAAACUUAAUAUUUUUACUUGUAAUUAUUUACUACAUACAAAAUAUCUUUUGAAAGACAAGUGCUGUUUUAAUUUUGAACCUUUAAAAUCGCUGAUGUCAAGAAAUUUAGCCUUAGAUUCAGACAGCCAAAUGGUUUGUGAUUCUGAUGAAAUUACAUUUUAACAAUGUUAACUGUUGAAUUCUUUAAAAUGGAGUUACAGUCGAUGAAACGGUUCUCGUACGAAUUAACUUGCUUAAAGUUGUUUAAAAAGUAGCGUCUUACGCUGUAACUCCGGCUUUAAUUAUAUUAAAAUAGUAGAAGUAUACUAAAUAAUCAAAAUUCCUUCUAUCAAGCAGCUUUAUGUAAGGUGAUGAGAUUGGGUAACAUAAUUAUGUGCAAUUUUGUAGAUUGCUUGGUGGAAAGUCUUUUGAUCGAUCGUUUUUUUUUCUUUUUUGUUAUGUUUUGUUAAAAAUAGGAUUACCUAUGUUUUGUUUUGUUAAAAAUAGGAUUACCUGUUUUGUUUUGUUAAAAAUAGGAUUUUUUUAUGUUAGACAGAAUAAAUGAUUUUCAAAAGAUUUUAAUGUUUUUAUUUAAUUCUUAUUUUCAAAUGUCCCGCAUUCAUUACCAACCAUUACAAUUUGAUAGUUACUUUCGUUACAAAAUUUUUCUAGUUAGGAACAACACUGCCGCUAGC